CAAAGAUUAAGCCAUGCAUGUCUAAGUAUAAAUAAAUUUAUAUUGUGAAACUGCGAAUGGCUCAUUAAAUCAGUAUGAUCUACGUGACAUAUUCUUUACUACUUGGAUAACCGUGGUAAUUCUAGAGCUAAUACAUGCAAAAAAGCCCUGACUUUACGAAGGGGUGCACUUAUUAGAUAAAGCCAACGCUGGGUAAAACCAGUUUCCCUUGGUGAUUCAUAAUAAUUAAGCGGAUCGCAUGGCCCUUGUGCUAGCGACAGUCCACUCGAUUUUCUGUCCCUAUCAUGGUUGAGAUUGUAAGAUAGAGGCUUACAAUGCCUACAACGGGUAACGGGGAAUUAGGGUUCGAUUCCCGGAGAGGGAGCCUGAGAAACGGCUACCACAUCCAAGGAAGGCAGCAGGCGCGCAAAUUACCCAAUCCCGACACGGGGAGGGUAGUGACAAUAAAUAACAAUGCAGGGCCUUUAAGGUCUUGCAAUUGGAAUGAGUACAAUUUAAAUCCCUUAACGAGGAUCAAUUGGAGGGMAAGUCUGGUGCCAGCAGCCGCGGUAAUUCCAGCUCCAAUAGCGUAUAUUAAAGUUGUUGCAGUUAAAACGUCYSYMGUCAAAUUUUAGUCUUUAGGCGAGGUGGCCUGGUCUUCAUUGAUCAAGCUCGCUUCUGCCGAGACUUUUUUUUUGGUUAUGCUAGAGGUGAUUUCGGUUGCUUUUAGUCUCUAAUCAAAUGAUUACCAUGAGCAAAUCAGAGUGUUUAAAGCAGGCUUUCAAGCUUGAAUGUGUUAGCAUGGAAUAAUGAAAUAUGACUUUAGUCCCUAUUUCGUUGGUUCAGGAACUUGAGUAAUGAUGAAUAGAAACGGUUGGGGGCAUUUGUAUUUGGUCGCUAGAGGUGAAAUUCUUGGAUUGACCGAAGACAAACUACUGCGAAAGCAUUUGACCCAGGACGUUUUCAUUGAUCAAGGUSUAAAGUUAAGGGAUYGAAGACGAUUAGAUACCGUCGUAGUCUUAACCCACAAACUAUGCCCGACUAGAGAUUGGGCCUGUUUAUUAUGACUGGCUCAGCAUCUUAGCGAAAGUAAAGUUUUUGGGUUCUGGGGGGGAGUAUGGGACGCAAGGCUGAAACUUAAAGGAAUUGACGGAAGGGCACCACCAGGAGUGGAGCCUGCGGCUU
RNAcentral lists this ribosomal RNA (1164 nucleotides) under Circinella simplex. RNAcentral's name for it is "SSU rRNA". It matches the Rfam family "Eukaryotic small subunit ribosomal RNA", at positions 38 to 1202 of the family's 1831-position model. The record is from RNAcentral. Lineage: Eukaryota; Fungi; Mucoromycota; Mucoromycetes; Mucorales; Lichtheimiaceae.